AACGAACGCUGGCGGCGCGUCUUAAGCAUGCAAGUCGAACGGCAAGAGAGGAGCUUGCUUCUCUCCUAGAGUGGCGGACUGGUGAGGAACACGUGGGUAAUCUACCCUUAAGAUGGGGAUAGCUGCUAGAAAUAGCAGAUAAUACCGAAUACACUCAAUUUUUCAUAAGAGGAGUUGAGGAAAGAGGCUACGGCCUCGCUUAAGGAUGAGCUUGCGUCCCAUUAGCUAGUUGGUGAGGUAAAGGCUCACCAAGGCGACGAUGGGUAUCCGGCCUGAGAGGGUGAACGGACACAUUGGGACUGAGAUACGGCCCAAACUCCUACGGGAGGCAGCAGCUAAGAAUAUUCCGCAAUGGACGGAAGUCUGACGGAGCGACGCCGCGUGGAUGAAGAAGGCUGAAAAGUUGUAAAAUCCUUUUGUUGAUGAAGAAUAAGGGUAAGAGGGAAUGCUUGCCUGAUGACGGUAAUCGGCGAAUAAGCCCCGGCUAAUUACGUGCCAGCAGCCGCGGUAACACGUAAGGGGCGAGCGUUGUUCGGAAUUAUUGGGCGUAAAGGGCAUGUAGGCGGUUAUGUAAGCCUGAUGUGAAAUGCCGGGGCUUAACCCCGGAACAGCAUUGGGUACUGUAUAACUUGAAUUACGGAAGGGAAACUGGAAUUCCAAGUGUAGGGGUGGAAUCUGUAGAUAUUUGGAAGAACACCGGUGGCGAAGGCGGGUUUCUGGCCGAUAAUUGACGCUGAGAUGCGAAAGUGUGGGGAUCGAACAGGAUUAGAUACCCUGGUAGUCCACACCGUAAACGAUGUACACUAGGUGUUGGGGCAAGAGCUUCAGUGCCAAAGCAAACGCGAUAAGUGUACCGCCUGGGGAGUAUGCCCGCAAGGGUGAAACUCAAAGGAAUUGACGGGGGCCCGCACAAGCGGUGGAGCAUGUGGUUUAAUUCGAUGAUACGCGAGAAACCUUACCUGGGUUUGACAUCAAGAG
Molecule: ribosomal RNA, 978 nt
Filed under: Treponema sp. oral taxon 235
Lineage: Bacteria; Pseudomonadati; Spirochaetota; Spirochaetia; Treponematales; Treponemataceae
Description: bacterial SSU rRNA
Rfam family: Bacterial small subunit ribosomal RNA
Source: RNAcentral